GCGUAAUAGCUCACUGGUCGAGUCGGCCUGCGCGGAAGAUGUAACGGGGCUAAACCAUGCACCGAAGCUGCGGCAGCGACACUAUGUGUUGUUGGGUAGGGGAGCGUUCUGUAAGCCUGCGAAGGUGGCCUGUGAGGGUUGCUGGAGGUAUCAGAAGUGCGAAUGCUGACAUAAGUAACGAUAAAGCGGGUGAAAAGCCCGCUCGCCGGAAGAC
Molecule: ribosomal RNA, 214 nt
Filed under: Escherichia coli
Lineage: Bacteria; Pseudomonadati; Pseudomonadota; Gammaproteobacteria; Enterobacterales; Enterobacteriaceae
Also listed under: 2 other names
Description: partial 23S ribosomal RNA
Rfam family: Bacterial large subunit ribosomal RNA
Source: RNAcentral